GUGCUUGCACAUCGCUGACGAGUGGCGGACGGGUGAGUAAUGCUUGGGAACUUGCCUUUGCGAGGGGGAUAACAGUUGGAAACGACUGCUAAUACCGCAUAAUGUCUUCGGACCAAACGGGGCUUCGGCUCCGGCGCAGAGAGAGGCCCAAGUGAGAUUAGCUAGUUGGUGAGGUAAAGGCUCACCAAGGCGACGAUCUCUAGCUGUUCUGAGAGGAAGAUCAGCCACACUGGGACUGAGACACGGCCCAGACUCCUACGGGAGGCAGCAGUGGGGAAUAUUGCACAAUGGGGGAAACCCUGAUGCAGCCAUGCCGCGUGUGUGAAGAAGGCCUUCGGGUUGUAAAGCACUUUCAGUUGUGAGGAAAAGUUAGUAGUUAAUACCUGCUAGCCGUGACGUUAACAACAGAAGAAGCACCGGCUAACUCCGUGCCAGCAGCCGCGGUAAUACGGAGGGUGCGAGCGUUAAUCGGAAUUACUGGGCGUAAAGCGCACGCAGGCGGUUUGUUAAGCUAGAUGUGAAAGCCCCGGGCUCAACCUGGGAUGGUCAUUUAGAACUGGCAGACUAGAGUCUUGGAGAGGGGAGUGGAAUUCCAGGUGUAGCGGUGAAAUGCGUAGAUAUCUGGAGGAACAUCAGUGGCGAAGGCGACUCCCUGGCCAAAGACUGACGCUCAUGUGCGAAAGUGUGGGUAGCGAACAGGAUUAGAUACCCUGGUAGUCCACACCGUAAACGCUGUCUACUAGCUGUUUGUGAUUUUAAAUCGUGAGUAGCGAAGCU
This 777-nucleotide ribosomal RNA is filed under the name Alteromonas confluentis. Its description in RNAcentral is "bacterial SSU rRNA". It matches the Rfam family "Bacterial small subunit ribosomal RNA", at positions 76 to 853 of the family's 1533-position model. The record is from RNAcentral. Lineage: Bacteria; Pseudomonadati; Pseudomonadota; Gammaproteobacteria; Alteromonadales; Alteromonadaceae.